GUAGGUGGCAAGCGUUGUCCGGAAUUAUUGGGCGUAAAGAGCGCGCAGGCGGUUCUUUAAGUCUGAUGUGAAAGCCCACGGCUCAACCGUGGAGGGUCAUUGGAAACUGGAGAACUUGAGUACAGAAGAGGAAAGCGGAAUUCCACGUGUAGCGGUGAAAUGCGUAGAGAUGUGGAGGAACACCAGUGGCGAAGGCGGCUUUCUGGUCUGUAACUGACGCUGAGGCGCGAAAGCGUGGGGAGCAAACAGGAUUAGAUACCCUGGUAGUCCACGCCGUAAACGAUGAGUGCUAAGUGUUAGGGGGGUUUUCCGCCCCCCUUAGUGCUGCAGCUAACGCAUUAAGCACUCCGCCUGGGAGUACGGCCGCAAGGCUG
Molecule: ribosomal RNA, 374 nt
Filed under: uncultured organism
Description: partial 16S ribosomal RNA
Rfam family: Bacterial small subunit ribosomal RNA
Source: RNAcentral